AGUGAACGCUUUCUUUCUUCCUAACACAUGCAAGUCGAACGGCAGCACAGUAAGAGCUUGCUCUUACGGGUGGCGAGUGGCGGACGGGUGAGGAAUACAUCGGAAUCUACUUUUUCGUGGGGGAUAACGUAGGGAAACUUACGCUAAUACCGCAUACGACCUACGGGUGAAAGCAGGGGAUCUUCGGACCUUGCGCGAUUGAAUGAGCCGAUGUCGGAUUAGCUAGUUGGCGGGGUAAAGGCCCACCAAGGCGACGAUCCGUAGCUGGUCUGAGAGGAUGAUCAGCCACACUGGAACUGAGACACUGUCCAGGCUCCUACGGGAGGCAGCAGUGGGGAAUAUUGGACAAUGGGCGCAAGCCUGAUCCAGCCAUACCGCGUGGGUGAAGAAGGCCUUCGGGUUGUAAAGCCCUUUUGUUGGGAAAGAAAAGCAGCAGGUUAAUACCCCGCUGUUCUGACGGUACCCAAAGAAUAAGCACCGGCUAACUUCGUG
Molecule: ribosomal RNA, 492 nt
Filed under: uncultured bacterium
Lineage: Bacteria
Description: partial 16S ribosomal RNA
Rfam family: Bacterial small subunit ribosomal RNA
Source: RNAcentral